CAAUAGCGUAUAUUAAAGUUGUUGCAGUUAAAAAGCUCGUAGUUGGAUUUCUGGUGGGAGCGAUCGGUCUGGCGCUUAGCGCGAGUACUUGCAUCGUCUCCGGCCAUCCUUGGGGAGAGUCUGUCUGGCAUUAAGUUGUCGGGCAGAGGAUCCUCAUCGUUUACUGUGAAAAAAUUAGAGUGUUCAAAGCAGGCUUAUGCCGUUGAAUAUAUUAGCAUGGAAUAAUAAGAUAGGACUUUGGUACUAUUUUGUUGGUUCGCGCACCAAAGUAAUGAUUAAUAGGGACAGUUGGGGGUAUUCGUAUUCCGUUGUCAGAGGUGAAAUUCUUGGAUUUACGGAAGACGAACUACUGCGAAAGCAUUUACCAAGGAUGUUUUCAUUAA
This 383-nucleotide ribosomal RNA is filed under the name uncultured eukaryote. RNAcentral's name for it is "partial 18S ribosomal RNA". It matches the Rfam family "Eukaryotic small subunit ribosomal RNA", at positions 592 to 976 of the family's 1831-position model. The record is from RNAcentral.